This 253-nucleotide ribosomal RNA is filed under the name uncultured bacterium. Its description in RNAcentral is "partial 16S ribosomal RNA". It matches the Rfam family "Bacterial small subunit ribosomal RNA", at positions 524 to 776 of the family's 1533-position model. The record is from RNAcentral.
UACAGAGGUCUCAAGCGUUGUUCGGAUUCAUUGGGCGUAAAGGGUGCGUAGGCGGCGCGGUAAGUCGGGUGUGAAAUCUCGGGGCUCAACUCCGAAACUGCAUUCGAUACUGCCGUGCUUGAGGACUGGAAAGGAGACUGGAAUUUACGGUGUAGCGGUGAAAUGCGUAGAUAUCGUAAGGAAGACCAGUGGCGAAGGCGGGUCUCUGGACAGUUCCUGACACUGAGGCACGAAGGCCAGGGGAGCAAACGGG